This 687-nucleotide ribosomal RNA is filed under the name uncultured Actinomycetes bacterium. RNAcentral describes it as "bacterial SSU rRNA". It matches the Rfam family "Bacterial small subunit ribosomal RNA", at positions 75 to 750 of the family's 1533-position model. The record is from RNAcentral. Lineage: Bacteria; Bacillati; Actinomycetota; Actinomycetes.
GGGCUUCGGCUCUGGGGACAGCGGCGAACGGGUGAGUAACACGUGGGUAAUCUGCCCUCGGCAUCGGGAUAGCCCGGGGAAACCCGGAUUAAUACCGAAUAGCCUCUCAAGCUUUCGAGCUCGUGAGAAAAGGUAGCUUUGGCCUCCGGCCGAGGAGGAGCCCGCGGCGGAUUAGCUUGUUGGUGAGGUAAAGGCUCACCAAGGCGACGAUCCGUAGCUGGUCUGAGAGGACGAUCAGCCACACUGGGACUGAGACACGGCCCAGACUCCUACGGGAGGCAGCAGUGGGGAAUCUUGCCCAAUGGGCGAAAGCCUGAGGCAGCGACGCCGCGUGCGGGAAGAAGGCCUUCGGGUUGUAAACCGCUUUCAGGAGGGACGAAGCCACUCGGGUUAAUAGCCCAGAGGGUGACGGUACCUUCAGAAGAAGCCCCGGCCAACUACGUGCCAGCAGCCGCGGUAAUACGUAGGGGGCGAGCGUUGUCCGGAUUUAUUGGGCGUAAAGAGCGUGUAGGCGGCUAGGUAGGUCCGCUGUGAAAACUCGAGGCUCAACCUCGAGAGGUCGGUGGAAACCACCUGGCUAGAGUCCGGAAGAGGAGAGUGGAAUUCCCGGUGUAGCGGUGAAAUGCGCAGAUAUCGGGAAGAAUAUCCGUGGCGAAGGCGGCUCUCUGGUACGGCACUGACGCUGGU